CCUACGGGUGGCAGCAGUGAGGAAUAUUGGUCAAUGGACGAGAGUCUGAACCAGCCAAGUAGCGUGAAGGAUGACUGCCCUAUGGGUUGUAAACUUCUUUUAUAUAGGAAUAAACUGUUCCACGUGUGGGUUUUUGUAUGUACCAUAUGAAUAAGGAUCGGCUAACUCCGUGCCAGCAGCCGCGGUAAUACGGAGGAUCCGAGCGUUAUCCGGAUUUAUUGGGUUUAAAGGGAGCGUAGGUGGAUGGUUAAGUCAGUUGUGAAAGUUUGCGGCUCAACCGUGAAAUUGCAGUUGAAACUGGCAGGCUUGAGAGCAGUAGAGGUAGGCGGAAUGCGUGGUGUAGCGGUGAAAUGCUUAGAUAUCACGAAGAACUCCGAUUGCGAAGGCAGCUCACUGGACUGCAACUGACACUGAGGCUCGAAAGUGUGGGUAGCAAACAGGAUUAGAUACCCCAGUAGUC
RNAcentral lists this ribosomal RNA (460 nucleotides) under uncultured bacterium. Its description in RNAcentral is "partial 16S ribosomal RNA". It matches the Rfam family "Bacterial small subunit ribosomal RNA", at positions 338 to 795 of the family's 1533-position model. The record is from RNAcentral.